GACGAACGCUGGCGGCGUGCUUAACACAUGCAAGUCGAACGGAAAGGCCCUGCUUUUGUUGGGUGCUCGAGUGGCGAACGGGUGAGUAACACGUGAGUAACCUGUCCUUGACUUUGGGAUAACUUCAGGAAACUGGGGCUAAUACCGGAUAGGAGCUCCUGCUGCAUGGUGGGGGUUGGAAAGUUUCGGCGGUUGGGGAUGGACUCGCGGCUUAUCAGCUUGUUGGUGGGGUAGUGGCUUACCAAGGCUUUGACGGGUAGCCGGCCUGAGAGGGUGACCGGCCACAUUGGGACUGAGAUACGGCCCAGACUCCUACGGGAGGCAGCAGUGGGGAAUAUUGCACAAUGGGCGGAAGCCUGAUGCAGCAACGCCGCGUGCGGGAUGACGGCCUUCGGGUUGUAAACCGCUUUCGGCAGUGACGAAGCGUGAGUGACGGUAAUGGGUAAAGAAGCACCGGCUAACUACGUG
Molecule: ribosomal RNA, 468 nt
Filed under: uncultured bacterium
Lineage: Bacteria
Description: partial 16S ribosomal RNA
Rfam family: Bacterial small subunit ribosomal RNA
Source: RNAcentral